Molecule: long non-coding RNA, 585 nt
Organism: Mirounga angustirostris (Northern elephant seal)
Lineage: Eukaryota; Metazoa; Chordata; Mammalia; Carnivora; Phocidae
Exons: 3
Source: RefSeq, a predicted model, not a curated record
GGUUUAUCCAUUUUUAGCUGGUUGAGCCCAGAGCAGUCUACUGCUGUCCCCUUAGCUAUGAAAACACCUGAAGCAAGCUGGGCGAUGGUGGUCCCAUCCUCGAGGGGGAGAGGCAGAGGUCUCCCCCUUGUCCUCAGGGGUCAGCAGAGACCUUUGAGAAAUGCUGUGUGUCUGAGAAGGGACCCAAGAGUGGGACAGAGGGCAACGUGUUAGGGGCGGGUUUGGAGGGUUGGUUUGAUUUCUGCACAGUCAGUGCUGGUCUGAAUCCACCUCCAUCUGUUCUAGGGCUUUGGUCUGAUGCUGAAACUGGUGGGUCUCCCAUGGGGAACAGGGGCACCGAGCCUCACAGAGACCCAGGGAUGAGCAAGGUCGGUACAGAUGUGAGAGGGUUUCCUCAUGCUCCAAGGCCCCCCCAUAUGCCCUACCAUAUGGGGCAGGGUUUACCAGGCUUCCCUGGCUAUGGGCCACCUCCACCUCCUCCACAUGGGUGGACAUGGGGGCCUCAACCACAGCUCGUUCCUGCUACACAUGGGCUUCGGUCAUAUUCAGAAACCUGUGGCUCUCAAGGGGACAACAGUGGCACUC